CCUACGGGAGGCAGCAGUGGGGAAUCUUGCGCAAUGGGCGAAAGCCUGACGCAGCCAUGCCGCGUGAAUGAUGAAGGUCUUAGGAUUGUAAAAUUCUUUCACCGGGGACGAUAAUGACGGUACCCGGAGAAGAAGCCCCGGCUAACUUCGUGCCAGCAGCCGCGGUAAUACGAAGGGGGCUAGCGUUGCUCGGAAUUACUGGGCGUAAAGGGAGCGUAGGCGGAUAGUUUAGUCAGAGGUGAAAGCCCAGGGCUCAACCUUGGAAUUGCCUUUGAUACUGGCUAUCUUGAGUAUGGGAGAGGUUAGCGGAACUCCGAGUGUAGAGGUGAAAUUCGUAGAUAUUCGGAAGAACACCAGUGGCGAAGGCGGCUAACUGGCCCAUUACUGACGCUGAGGCUCGAAAGCGUGGGGAGCAAACAGGAUUAGAUACCCGGGGUAGUCCACGCCGUAAACGAUGAGUGCUAGUUGUCGGCAUGNAUGCAUGUCGGUGACGCGAGCUACGACAUUAAGUACACUCCGCCGUCGGGGUAGGUACGGUCGGCGAAGAAGUUAAACUAACAAAGGAAGUUAGACGGCGUGAGACGUGCCGACGGACGACGACGAGGGAGGUAGG
This 613-nucleotide ribosomal RNA is filed under the name uncultured bacterium. RNAcentral's name for it is "bacterial SSU rRNA". The stretch from base 1 to 521 matches the Rfam family "Bacterial small subunit ribosomal RNA", at positions 338 to 873 of the family's 1533-position model. The record is from RNAcentral.